UACGCAGGGGGCUAGCGUUGUUCGGAAUUACUGGGCGUAAAGCGCACGUAGGCGGGUUGUUAAGUCAGGGGUGAAAUCCUGGAGCUCAACUCCAGAACUGCCUUUGAUACUGGCAACCUAGAGACUGGAAGAGGUUAGUGGAAUUCCCAGUGUAGAGGUGAAAUUCGUAGAUAUUGGGAAGAACACCAGUGGCGAAGGCGGCUAACUGGUCCAGCACUGACGCUGAGGUGCGAAAGCGUGGGGAGCAAACAGG
RNAcentral lists this ribosomal RNA (253 nucleotides) under uncultured bacterium. Its description in RNAcentral is "partial 16S ribosomal RNA". It matches the Rfam family "Bacterial small subunit ribosomal RNA", at positions 524 to 776 of the family's 1533-position model. The record is from RNAcentral.